AUUGAACGCUGGCGGCAGGCCUAACACAUGCAAGUCGAGCGGAUGAAGGGAGCUUGCUCCUGGAUUCAGCGGCGGACAGGUGAGUAAUGCCUAGGAAUCUGCCUGGUAGUGGGGGAUAACGUCCGGAAACGGGCGCUAAUACCGCAUACGUCCUGAGGGAGAAAGUGGGGGAUCUUCGGACCUCACGCUAUCAGAUGAGCCUAGGUCGGAUUAGCUAGUUGGUGGGGUAAAGGCCUACCAAGGCGACGAUCCGUAACUGGUCUGAGAGGAUGAUCAGUCAAACUGGAACUGAGACACGGUCCAGACUCCUACGGGAGGCAGCAGUGGGGAAUAUUGGACAAUGGGCGAAAGCCUGAUCCAGCCAUGCCGAGUGUGUGAAGAAGGUCUUCGGAUUGUAAAGCACUUUAAGUUGGGAGGAAGGGCAGUAAGUUAAUACCUUGCUGUUUUGACGUUACCAACAGAAUAAGCACCGGCUAACUUCGUG
This 484-nucleotide ribosomal RNA is filed under the name uncultured bacterium. RNAcentral describes it as "partial 16S ribosomal RNA". It matches the Rfam family "Bacterial small subunit ribosomal RNA", at positions 30 to 507 of the family's 1533-position model. The record is from RNAcentral.